Chrysemys picta bellii (western painted turtle) is the source of this 1824-nucleotide long non-coding RNA. RefSeq lists it as uncharacterized. The record is from RefSeq and is a predicted model, not a curated record. Lineage: Eukaryota; Metazoa; Chordata; Testudines; Emydidae.
UUAUAGCAGAAUAUGACAUUCCAAUAUACCACUGAAAAGAGCAGUUAGGAUGUUUGACAAUGAAGGUGAACAUUUCACAGGUACCUUGGGGAAAGUCUUCCUUAUGAUUAGAUUUAUUUAUGUAUUUUUCAAGUUACAAUGUGCCCAUUUUAAAGCUUGCAAUGUAAAGACUAAAAGCAACUCUUUGAGAAAUCAAAUUUAUUUAACCCGCAGCAAAAAUGAGCCCCACCUCACUCAUCCUCCUGCAAUCCUGGUAAAAGUUGGCCGAGAGGAGAGGUCAGCCAUUCAUCUGGCAGACCAAUGAGAGAAGCAAAUUGCACCGGGAGUUAAGAGGGAAGAAGUAGUGGAGGUGCUCUACUCUCAAGACACACAUGCCAUGGCCACACUCCCAGAAUUCCAAUCCACCCUUUGUGCCCCACUUUCCUAAUAAACCUGAUUCUCUGUUCCAAAUGCGAGUGGAUCAGCAAAGUGAAAUCGGCAAGACCUCUGACAGGCACUUCAAGGAAAACCACCCCAGGAGUAUGUAUGAAAGUUCACAGGGAAUUGGGUAAAAAUCGAGGUUUGAGAUUUUUGGAUUCUGUUAUUCAACACACCACCACCAGAAAAUCCCCAUAAACCAGGUUGGGAGUCAUUCAGUUCCUUGUUCAAAGCCUCCUUAGAAAAUUACAGUCCAGAGAUGAGAAGCAGAAAUGAAGACCAAGCAGUGAUGUGACAGCUUCCACUUAUAUACCUUCAGCCUAGGUGUAUGGAAAGUUAUUGGCCCAAGAUGGAGUCCAGGGUCACAUGAGUAUGGAAAGUUACUGGUAAAAGAUGGAUCACAUGUUCUCAUUGCAUGUCCUUAGCUCAACGCUAUCUGAGGCAUGCAAGAAGACUCAUUGAGAAGCUGAUUUCCCUUAAUGGCCCAUCAUCACAUGGAUGACCCAUCAACCAGUGAUGGCUAGUCCGAAUGUAAAUUUGUCUGAGGGAUGUCAGCCAGGAACACAACACAUGUUUGAGAUACUAAUAUAUAGCAAAUAUUCAUAACGUCAGAGACAAAGAUACUACAUACAUACAAACAAGAUUAUUGUACUUAGAUCACAACUUUUCCACUGAUAUCUUACAUGACAUACUUUAUAUAGGGUUUAGUGCAGUUGUGCAACAAUGAUAUAAUGUUCAUAUAAAGUAUCACAGUUUCCAAGAGAGGUUGUGGAAUCCCCAUCACUGGAGGUUUUUAAGCGCAGGUUAGACAGACACCUGUGAGGUGUGGUCUAGGUAUACUUGAUUCUGCCUCAGCAUAGCGGACCAGACUAGAUAUCCUCUCAAGGGCCCUUCCAGCCCUACAUUUCUAUGUUUCUAAGAUUCUAUUCCCAGCUAUAAUUCUGUGAUGUGUUAAUUAAGCCUCCAGCAUUGUAUCUAAUGCUGCACCUUGGGAGCAUGGUUCUCAAAGACAUAUCAAUUUCCUUUUGUUUAUUAAAAAGGGAUCAUCCAUCACUCCUUGUUGUUUUUGUCCUUCAUUCCUUGUUUGCUGAACUAACAUCAUUAUCAUGCCCAUCCCAUUUUUCAUAAGGAAAAAUAGACUAGAUUUUGAAAACACUCUGUCCUUUUGGGUCAAUUUCCAACCCCAAAUGUAUGCAUCUGACUCCCUUUGACUUCUGUAGGAGUUGUGUCUGCAUAUCUUAGGGAAUAAUUGGGCCCUGGUUGUGUCUUUCUGUGUCUGUCUGUGUGUGAAGGAGAGUAUGUGAAUGUGGUUAUAAAAGUAAAUUGUCUCAAUUAAUACAAGGCUGGAGCAUAUCACAUAUACUUUGCAGACUGCUGUAACUAUUAACAUUUUCCACACCAAAAAAA